AUUGAACGCUGGCGGAAUGCUUUACACAUGCAAGUCGAGCGGCAGCGCGGGGGCAACCCUGGCGGCGAGCGGCGAACGGGUGAGUAACAUAUCGGAACGUACCCCGUCGUGGGGGAUAACACAGCGAAAGCUGUGCUAAUACCGCAUACGACCUGAGGGUGAAAGCGGGGGACCGUAAGGCCUCGCGCGAUGGGAGCGGCCGAUAUCGGAUUAGCUUGUUGGUGAGGUAAAGGCUCACCAAGGCGACGAUCCGUAGCUGGUCUGAGAGGACGACCAGCCACACUGGAACUGAGACACGGUCCAGACUCCUACGGGAGGCAGCAGUGGGGAAUUUUGGACAAUGGGGGGCAACCCUGAUCCAGCCAUUCCGCGUGAGUGAAGAAGGCCUUCGGGUUGUUAAAGACUCUUCUAGCAGGAACG
This 420-nucleotide ribosomal RNA is filed under the name uncultured bacterium. RNAcentral's name for it is "bacterial SSU rRNA". It matches the Rfam family "Bacterial small subunit ribosomal RNA", at positions 29 to 447 of the family's 1533-position model. The record is from RNAcentral.